GGCGGAGUGGCUGAAAUAUUUAGGUAGUAAAUUGUAAAUUUAUUUAUGGUUGUGAAACCCUUUGUCA
RNAcentral lists this transfer RNA (67 nucleotides) under Canthesancus helluo. RNAcentral describes it as "tRNA-Tyr". The record is from RNAcentral. Lineage: Eukaryota; Metazoa; Arthropoda; Insecta; Hemiptera; Reduviidae.